This is a long non-coding RNA of Canis lupus familiaris (dog), 1716 nucleotides long. RefSeq lists it as uncharacterized. Lineage: Eukaryota; Metazoa; Chordata; Mammalia; Carnivora; Canidae. The record is from RefSeq and is a predicted model, not a curated record. The transcript is spliced from 4 exons.
CGGGAGGACCAGGCCCCUGCGCCCGGGACCCACGAGAUUGCCGCCGGCCGCCCCUGGGACCUUACUGUCUGCCGGCACCUGCCUCGCCCCUGCCGUGGCUUCUCCCCUGGGAUCCUCACCUUAUCCUAGUAUUUAGCCCUAUUUCACAGAUGAAGCAGUGGAGGCACAGAGUUUAAGUAGAAUGCCCAAGGUAAAGACGACGUGACGGUGAGGUCUGACCCUGGGCGGUCUGGCUCCAGGCCCUAAGCUCUUAACCACUGUUACUAGACACACACACACACACACACACACACACACACACACACUCAUGCCCUAUAUAGUUUCUCAUCUUUUUCCUUUUCACUUACGUCACUGACCGCUUUCCACGUCAUAAAUACAGCCCUCGGUUAUUCCUGUUUCAGGUCCCGACGCGCUGGGAAGAUUCUAUCCAUGCGCCCCGCCCCCCAUAUCCCUUUUUCCCCAGCAGCUAAGGGACCUGGGUCCGGACCCCCGGCGCCCUGUCAUUGAGUUAAGAAUUAAGGUAAGCUCUGCCCAACAUGGAGCUCAAAUUCACGGCCCAGAGAUCAAGAGUCACUCACUAUACUGACUGAGCCAGCCAGGCACCAUAUGUUAGCCAUCUGUUGAUUGCCCUUUCUCAUUCCAGUUCAGCCUUCUUCUGGCUUUUGAACAUGGCAGAAGGGAUACUGUGUAAGUUCCACAGCCAAGGUUUUAAAGAAGCCUUGAACUAUCUCAUCUUCUGGAUCAGAGACCAUUAUGGAACUGGGACCACCAUAUUGUGAAGGUGGGACACAUCUAUCUACUGGAAGAUGAGACCACAAGAGAAGACAUCUAAAAGCCUCUGUGGUUGCAUUCCCUGGGCAACCUUCCUGAAUUGGGAGUUCUGAGAAGCCCAUGCACGUGGUAUGAUCAAACGUCAAGUGCCUACCCAAAGAGGGAGCCAGCUUCUUCUUCCCCCAUCACAGAAAACAAGUGUAAGGACAUACCCCAUCUCUUAUCUGGAAAUACUCCUAACCUUUUGCUAAAUCUCUUUCAAUUCUAUGACCAAAAGUAUAUUUUCAAGAAGGCCCCAUGAUGGGAAGAACGCACAGGAUCCCAGAACAUGAACUACAAUUCAUGUCCUUGUGGGCAUGCCUUUCAUUUCCCAAUUUAUCACAAUACGAAUAAAAGGACUGCCACAUUAUAUGUCAUGGGGCUGGGGUGGAGCAGGUGGAGAUGCAUAGAAGGAAAACAAUACUUAACAGUGGCUAUUUGGUAAUGGUAGAAAUAUGCAUGAUCUUUAGCUUUUCUUUUUUUCUGUUUUCCAGAAAACACAGAGGCGGGAAUCUGUAGGGUAUAUGGGAUUAAAGGCAUGAGUUCUGGGGCUUGGCUCCAGAUGAUCACAGCAUUCCUCCCCCAACCCCCAACCCCAUAUCCCUGCUUCUGCCCUCUUUCUCCUACAGUUUAAACUUGACACGGCAGCUAGAAGGACAUUCUCCUAAAAUACAUGUCAGACCCUACUACUCCUCUGCUCAAGGCCCUCCCUUAGCUCCCCAUCUUACUUAGAAUAGAAUCCAAGUCCUAAAAAUGGUCUACAAAGCCCUGGAAGAGCUGCCACCCCACAUGGCAUCCCACUGACUUCAUCUCUGAUUACUCUCACACACUUCUCCACUCCAAGAACACGGUUUCCUUCUGUUCUCUAUAGACACCAGGGAUACUAUCACCCUGGGUCCUUUAUCC